Felis catus (domestic cat) is the source of this 671-nucleotide long non-coding RNA. RefSeq lists it as uncharacterized. The transcript has 3 exons. NCBI's taxonomy places the organism in Eukaryota, Metazoa, Chordata, Mammalia, Carnivora, Felidae. The record is from RefSeq and is a predicted model, not a curated record.
GUAGCCUGCCGGUUCGGCCAUGCGCAGUACGUGCCAGCCGGGAGCGAGCCGGCAUGGCGUCUGCCGGGCCGACCACGGGCGGUCAUGCGCAGUGGGUGCCCACCGGGGGCGCGCGCGGGCAUGCGCAGUGCGUGCCCGCCGAGCACAAGAACGCGACUGCGCGCUGUGGCUGUCGAGAGCGAGCUCGAGGCUGGGGCUGCAGAUUUCAUAAGUAGGCAACCCCGUUUACGUUAAUUUUGUUUCUCACACGGUUCUGACUCUAGAUUUAAUGUGCCCUUUGGAGCACCACCCUAGCCUGUACUGACGGAGGGGACCUGGUUUUCGUCACUGCUGGGAUGCCAGCCCCUAGAGAGUGCCUGGGACACGACAGAGAGUCCACCAUGGUGGGGUCAAGUCCUCUCCGAGACGAACGUGAAUCGUCCCAGCCCCGCGCGUCUGCGUUCGAGGAAGGUGAAAACGCAGCAGGUUGGUGCGGAAUGCUGAGUGUUCUCGGAAGAAAAACGACCCCAGAUUCAGCACAGCUGUUUCCAUAGGGCUCAGAGCCACGCGGACGCAUUUAAUAAAUAGAAGAAUUUUUUAAUCAAGUCAGGAGACAGGAUGUAUAAACUUUAUUAUUGAUUACACGUUUGUGAAAGCCUUCUCAAUAAAGCAGCCUUGCUCCGCUCUGUCAG